Myiozetetes cayanensis is the source of this 422-nucleotide long non-coding RNA. RefSeq lists it as uncharacterized. The record is from RefSeq and is a predicted model, not a curated record. Lineage: Eukaryota; Metazoa; Chordata; Aves; Passeriformes; Tyrannidae. The transcript has 4 exons.
UGGUGUGCAUAUUUUAAGGAAUAACCUAGAUUUUAUAUAUAAGACUUUUUUUUCUCUGAUUGCGGAGGUUAGGGAAGAGAAGACUCUUUGGAAGCCAAAAGACACAAGAACAGAAUCAUCAAGGAUAUUGUGGAAAAGAAGACAAGACACCAGGAAUGUGGUUUUAGUAGGCCGUGACUUCAUAAAUAACACAUCUGGGAACCAUCUGGCAAUGACUCGUCCAGUGCAGUAUUUAUCUUGAUCCAUUCGUAUGGCCUCACCCUCAUCCUGAAUGAAGCAGAGUUAUGCCUCUUCAGUUGGACUGACACUUACCUGAAAGGAGCCACGAAACCCAACCCUCUGGUUCACCAGGCACAUCCUCCUGUUUGCUGCAUGCUUGAGGAGAAGCUGAUGGUCCAAAGAGAAAUUAAGUUGAAAAGAGA